UGCUGUGCCUCUAGAAAAUAUUACAUUGG
This 29-nucleotide non-coding RNA is filed under the name Rattus norvegicus (Norway rat). Lineage: Eukaryota; Metazoa; Chordata; Mammalia; Rodentia; Muridae. The record is from RNAcentral.